Molecule: ribosomal RNA, 253 nt
Filed under: uncultured bacterium
Lineage: Bacteria
Description: partial 16S ribosomal RNA
Rfam family: Bacterial small subunit ribosomal RNA
Source: RNAcentral
UACGUAGGGGGCAAGCGUUGUCCGGAUUUAUUGGGCGUAAAGAGCGUGUAGGCGGCCAGGUAGGUCUGGUGUGAAAACUCGAGGCUUAACCUCGAGAUGUCAUCGGAAACCAUCUGGCUAGAGUCCGGAAGAGGAGAGUGGAAUUCCUGGUGUAGCGGUGAAAUGCGCAGAUAUCAGGAAGAACACCAAUGGCGAAAGCAGCUCUCUGGGACGGUACUGACGCUGAGACGCGAAAGCGUGGGGAGUGAACAGG